UUGUUGCUGGCCCUCGAAUGGGGGCAUGUGCACACUCUGUUUACACAUCCACUCACACCUGUGCACUCUCUGUAGUACUGUGGUCUGGGGGUUCUGUCCUCCUACUGUGGUUCUGCGUAUUUACACACACACUGUAAUAAAGUCUCAUGGAAUGUAUGUCGCGUUUAACGCAAUGAAAUACAACUUUCAGCAACGGAUCUCUUGGCUCUCGCAUCGAUGAAGAACGCAGCGAAAUGCGAUAAGUAAUGUGAAUUGCAGAAUUCAGUGAAUCAUCGAAUCUUUGAACGCACCUUGCGCCCUUUGGCUAUUCCGAAGGGCAUGCCUGUUUGAGUAUCAUGAACACCUCAACUCUCAUGGCUUGCCAUGAUGAGCUUGGACUUGGGGGUUUUGCUGGCCUGUGGUCAGCUCCCCUCAAAUGCAUCAGCUUUCCAGUGUUUGGUGGCACCACAGGUGUGAUAAACAUCUACACAUGUGGUUCCCCACCAUAUAACCUUCAGUGAUGGAGGUUCGCUGGAGCUCACAAAUGUCUUUCCUCAGUGAAGACAGUUCUUUGAUUGUUUGAUCUCAAAUCAGGUAGGACUACCCGCUGAACUUAAGCAUAUCAAUAAGCGGAGGAAAAGAAACUAACAAGGAUUCCCCUAGUAACUGCGAGUGAAGCGGGAAGAGCUCAAAUUUAAAAUCUGAUGUGCCUCUGGCCGUCCGAAUUGUAGUCUGGAGAAGCGUUUUCCGUGCUGGACCGUGUA
This 743-nucleotide ribosomal RNA is filed under the name uncultured Tomentella. RNAcentral's name for it is "eukaryotic LSU rRNA". The stretch from base 182 to 336 matches the Rfam family "5.8S ribosomal RNA". The record is from RNAcentral. Lineage: Eukaryota; Fungi; Basidiomycota; Agaricomycetes; Thelephorales; Thelephoraceae.